CCUGGAGUCCAGAGCUACAAAGGAGGGACCAAGUUGCUUGAGACCUUCAUUAAGGUAUUUAAUGUGCUCGUCACGUUGAAGCUCCAACCUGGUGGUUUGGGCUCCAGGAGGAAUACUAGCGAACAUAUUGUAUAUCCGGAACACCCGAUCCUCAACAGACCACUGCUCCACUUGAGUCACCGUCUCUCUACCACUUUCCAUCUCCAAAGUAUGUCACCCUAUAAGCGAAGGAAGAGAAUAGGCUACUCGUGAUGGAUUGCAGAUUAAAAAAAA
This is a long non-coding RNA of Populus euphratica (Euphrates poplar), 273 nucleotides long. RefSeq lists it as uncharacterized. The record is from RefSeq and is a predicted model, not a curated record. NCBI's taxonomy places the organism in Eukaryota, Viridiplantae, Streptophyta, Magnoliopsida, Malpighiales, Salicaceae. The transcript is spliced from 2 exons.